GACGAACGCUGGCGGCGUGCUUAACACAUGCAAGUCGAACGGAAAGGCCCCUUUGGGGGUACUCGAGUGGCGAACGGGUGAGUAACACGUGAGUAACCUGCCCUUGACUUCGGGAUAACUUCAGGAAACUGGGGCUAAUACCGGAUAGGAAUCCUUGCUGCAUGGUGGGGGUUGGAAAGCUUCGGCGGUUUUGGAUGGACUCGCGGCUUAUCAGCUUGUUGGUGGGGUAGUGGCUUACCAAGGCUUUGACGGGUAGCCGGCCUGAGAGGGCGACCGGCCACAUUGGGACUGAGAUACGGCCUAGACGCCUACGGGAGGCAGCAGUGGGGAAUAUUGCACAAUGGGCGGAAGCCUGAUGCAGCAACGCCGCGUGCGGGAUGACGGCCUUCGGGUUGUAAACCGCUUUCAGCAGGGGCGAAGCUUGUGGUGACGGUACCUGCAGAAGAAGCACCGGCUAACUACGUG
This 465-nucleotide ribosomal RNA is filed under the name uncultured bacterium. RNAcentral describes it as "partial 16S ribosomal RNA". It matches the Rfam family "Bacterial small subunit ribosomal RNA", at positions 28 to 507 of the family's 1533-position model. The record is from RNAcentral.